This 400-nucleotide ribosomal RNA is filed under the name phytoplankton environmental sample. RNAcentral's name for it is "partial small subunit ribosomal RNA". It matches the Rfam family "Eukaryotic small subunit ribosomal RNA", at positions 587 to 984 of the family's 1831-position model. The record is from RNAcentral.
AGCUCCAGUAGCGUAUAUUAACGUUGUUGCAGUUAAAAAGCUCGUAGUUGGAUUUCUGGCUUUGGUUGCCUGAUCCGCCACGGUUACGUGUGUGAGUAUCGGCGUGACUGAGCCAUCCUUCCGGGGAACGCAUGUGCCCUUCAUUGGGUGGGUGUGCCACUCGGAUCGUUUACUUUGAAAAAAUUAGAGUGUUCAAAGCAGGCUUUCGCCUUGAAUACAUUAGCAUGGAAUAAUAACAUAGGACUUGGGUUCUAUUUUGUUGGUUUCUAGGACUGAAGUAAUGAUUGAUAGGGAUAGUUGGGGGUGCUAGUAUUGGGCGGCCAGAGGUGAAAUUCUUGGAUUCGCUCAAGACUAACUUAUGCGAAAGCAUUCACCAAGGAUGUCUUCUUUAAUCAAGAAC